GGAGGGAUGGCCGAGUGGUUGAAGGCGCACGCUUGGAAAGCGUGUUUACCUCACGGUAACGAGGGUUCGAAUCCCUCUCCCUCUU
This is a non-coding RNA of Fibrobacter sp., 85 nucleotides long. The record is from Rfam. Lineage: Bacteria; Pseudomonadati; Fibrobacterota; Fibrobacteria; Fibrobacterales; Fibrobacteraceae.